This 2778-nucleotide long non-coding RNA is filed under the name Equus caballus (horse). RNAcentral's name for it is "lncRNA (ENSECAG00000044532.1)". The record is from RNAcentral. Lineage: Eukaryota; Metazoa; Chordata; Mammalia; Perissodactyla; Equidae.
CUUCACUCACUUUAUUGGGUCAGGAGAGCCCCAGCACAGUUGGCUGCAAGGUCUAACAGGACAUUCCUGCUGCAGUUUUUCUAUUGAGUAGGCCCCCAGCAUGGCUGUUUGCUAGGCUCAGGGGCUUACAAUUGCUGAUAUGCCUCUGGCCUGCAAGGCUGUUGUCAGUUCUCUCAUUAGUGCAGCUGGGUGGAACCAGCCCCAUGUGUGGCAGCAAAUAGUUGUUUCAAGUGUUGGAAGGUGGAGGCAGAUCCCCUAUGUGGCUGUUUGAGAAGCACAAGUCUUCUGAGGCUGACAAGACCCACCACCCACAGGCCCACACACCCCAUCAAUGCAGUCCUGCACAUGUGUGCACACCACACCCAGCUGAAGGGAACCCACUCACCCUGCUGCAGCAGUUCCACACACCCCCAUCUAAGCAGGCCCACAAGUUACCCAAGGGCUUGCUGGUGGGUGAGGCCAGUCCCUAAGGGCAGGUUGCCUGCCCUGGAUGAGCUGGAUUAAAUCGGUGCCCUAGUUGGUGGGGCAAAGCCCUGCACUAACAGAUCAGGGAAAAAACUCCAAUGGUGUCUUCCAGUGUCUGUGUCAGCAUGCCAGUGUUUGGUCACAAUAAUGGCUGCCACCAAUGUCUCAGUCACUGGAGAGGUGGUCCCAGUCACCUCUUGCUUCCCUGAGAUGUGCCCAGAACCUACCAACCGGAGCAGCGGUGCUCACUGGAGAUCUCCGGAGACAAGGGCAAAAAUCACCCGUCAUUUUCUACUGAAUGGGUGUCUGGAGGACCAUUCAGGCUCCUAGUGGCUGGAUUUGGUGGGGCGGAUUAACGUGGAGAGCCCUUGGAAAAUCAGCAUCGCCCCUGCCUGGACCUGCUAUUGUUCCAGAGGUGAAUGUUCUGUCUAGUUGUGCAGAUAGAAUCUCUCUCCUGCCCGGCCCCAGCCCCACCGGCUUUCUGUGCAGGGUCCUGUGCCCUUUCCCAACUCUGGGCCCCAGGCCUCUCCAGCCAGCCCUCCAUGCCAGCUGGCAGAGGGUGCUCUUGUACAGCAGAUCUGACGCCCUCCCCAUGAAUGCGCUCCCGCUGAAGCCCUCCCGCUCCAGCCAGGCUGCCUCCACCCGCUGGGGCCCUGGAACCCUCACGUGGGGCAAACUGCUGCUCCUUUCCGAAGGCUAGCCUGGGCCAUGCCCCAAGCCACUGCUGAGCUGGCCUCAUUCCCCUUCAAGCUUGUGUGCCCCUCUCUGCACCCCAAUUUCCCCACAAAUGGAACAGAGUGAGGCUGAAUAUGAGAGGAUGUAGUGGGUUUGCUGAUAAUUAUAUGUGUGUUGGGCGGGGAGAGAGAGAGAGGAAAGAGACACUGCCCUCUCAGGGCUCUGCAAUAACAGACUUCAAGAUUUAAUUGGAAAUUUAGUAAAUCUGCUAAAACAUUUAGUGGUUUAAAUUUUUCCUGUUCUGCAAAGAAACAAAGGCUUCUGGUUUACCUUGCGUCUUUCAACAACUUUAAUUUCAUUUGUAGAUUACGGGUGGAAGUAGCAUUUCCACUCGAUUGCAUACUGGGCAUUAAGAAGACAAAAACCUUCCUUGUUUGCAGCCCUCAGAAUUUUUUCAGACAUUAAGCUGUAGGUGGCAUUCUUUAUACCUGACAUCAGAGCACUUUUGUCAGGCGUUUAGUUGACAGGAUUCACUGCAAGCCCAUCGUAGGAGUGUGAAGCAGGAAAACAAGAAAAGAUUUCAUCCAGGUGGUCAGAGAGAGGAGUGUGCACAGGCCGAUCGGCCCGAUCGGGUAACCACUGUUUUCAAACUGUGUAAUUAAAGAUCCUUAGAGUUCUUCGAAGGGAAUUAAUUAGUAGAGAAAGGAUGUUUUGUUUACAGUCUUUAUCAUCAACAUAAGCAAAAGCCAGCCUUGGUAUUGGUGGUGAACUGGACCGAAUUCUCCCGAAGCCAAGAAUGCUCCACGCAGAGCUUUCCUUGUUUUUGGAGGUUUGUUUCAUCCGUGCAUUAACUUGCCAUCAGGGGAGGGGAGGGGGCAGGGGCAGUGGUGACUGUGGGUAGAGGAGAGGCAUUCUCAGUUUUGUCGAAACAUGUGCAGCCCCAUGUGGAGUUCCCACCCCUGAGACCCACGUUCGCAGAGGAUGGGGGCAGGGUGGGGUUAGCGUUUAGGCUCUGGAUGGUUUGUCUGUGGGUGACCAUGUUUUCAGGCCCACACCGCUGCACCUGGGUAGCCCUAAAGAAAUCAUCUGGUAAUGUGUCACAGUGGGUGUCACUGUACUGGCCUGGUGGCAUCAGCAACACCUGGAGUGCUUCAUAAUAAAGGCAGCUGACAGUCCCACCCAGACCAACUGAACCAGAACCUCCUGGGAUGGGACUCAGAAAUCUGUGUCAUUAACUCAUGACCCAAGUGCUUCUGAUAGGCAGCCAGGUUUGAUACGCAAGCUACUGAUCUAAGCUGUUGAGCCACCUUUUGGUGAAAGGACAUGGGCAUGAAGAGGGGAGAAGGGCAGGGGUACCCAGGGAGUUUACCCUGGGCCAGAAAAGGCCAGUCACAAAGUGUUAGACCCAUGGCCUCUGGGAAUUGACUAAAGCUGCUGCUGGGAGCCAGGCUCACUCUUUGCAAAGUGCAAACAAACCCUGACCUUGGAGGAUCAUCCUAUCAGCCCAGUCUGAGCCAUAGGGGCCAUUCUCCAAGCCAAGGGAGACACAGGGCAGCUGCAGCCCUCCGCUCCCCUUCCCUCAGGACUCCGUUUCAUGGCUCCAGGAAACGUUCGAAAGGACCAGCAGCCUUCUGGGAG